This is a small nuclear RNA of Cebus imitator (Panamanian white-faced capuchin), 140 nucleotides long. RefSeq annotates it as U4 spliceosomal RNA. The record is from RefSeq and is a predicted model, not a curated record. The transcript has a single exon. NCBI's taxonomy places the organism in Eukaryota, Metazoa, Chordata, Mammalia, Primates, Cebidae.
AGUUUUGCACAGUGGCAAUAUCAUAGCCAAUGAGGUUUAUCUGAGACGAAAUUACCGGUCAUCGAAAAUUUUUCCCAAUACCCUGCCGUGAUGACUUGCAAUUAAGUUGCAUUGGCAGUUUUUGAGAGUCUCUAGGGAGC